AAGAAAUUUUAUGUAAAUUGGGAGUCAGAGUUUGAUCCAUUAAGCCUGCCCCGUAACAAUAAUGUUGAUACCCUCAAGUUAUAUGAAGAUCAACUACAAGAGUUGAAGGACAAACUUACUAAGAAGAGAAAGAUACUGAGGGAUUGGAAAUACCCAGAAAAUGUUGAGGACCUAAACCAAAUAAAGUUUAUGGAGGAUCAUCUCAUUGCAUCUCU
RNA transcript from Gossypium raimondii (Peruvian cotton), 215 nucleotides. RefSeq lists it as uncharacterized. NCBI's taxonomy places the organism in Eukaryota, Viridiplantae, Streptophyta, Magnoliopsida, Malvales, Malvaceae. The record is from RefSeq and is a predicted model, not a curated record. The transcript has 3 exons.